Molecule: long non-coding RNA, 459 nt
Organism: Homarus americanus (American lobster)
Lineage: Eukaryota; Metazoa; Arthropoda; Malacostraca; Decapoda; Nephropidae
Exons: 2
Source: RefSeq, a predicted model, not a curated record
UUCAUUAGGGAGAGACAUAAUAACUGUAGUCAAUAUAUUACGAUCAUGGCCAUAAAACCAGCUGGGUGGAGUCAGGGUUGAUGUUGGAAUCCCAUUAUUCUUAUUACAAGAAUUAAUUUAUGAAAUGAAGACAUAAACAUCCCUUUUUAUCCACAACAACCUAACCUAUCUCUUCUCACCUGCUGAUUACAGGGGAAUACCGAGUCCUGUGCGUGUGCUUGUGUAGGUGUGAGUGACGUCAUGAUGUUAACAAAAUGUAGGCGUUGGGGUCAAAGCGUUAACAGUGGAGCUUGAGCCAUCAAGAAGACGGUUUGUGGAGGUCUGCUUAUACUGUAUAUCACCGACUGUCUCUCCUCCGGUGUGUGUUUACUGUUGUGGUGAAAUCAACACUGGACACAAUGACUCGCACCGCAGUGCUGAUGCUGGUGGUUGUGGCGGUGGUGGCAACAGCAUCCCAGA